Molecule: long non-coding RNA, 241 nt
Filed under: Mytilus galloprovincialis (Mediterranean mussel)
Lineage: Eukaryota; Metazoa; Mollusca; Bivalvia; Mytilida; Mytilidae
Source: RNAcentral
UUCGUGGUCUAGUGGUUAAGACCGAUGGCUACAGUGCUGAAGGUCCCGAGUUCGAUCCUCACUCGGGAUGCCAAAAAUUUCAGUACAUCAGAAGGGUGAUUUUCACCCUCUCACACACAUCUCUGGUAUCCAGACCGGAGUUUAAACUAGCUUGGAUACUUCGGGGGCCUCGGUAGGUCAAAGUUGUUCCCAGCUUGACCUGGAGAUCAAUCUUCUGAAAUCUCUUCGGUUUGUCUGUUCC